GCUACGAAAGGGCACUCAAAGGGGACUCCCGGUGACAAACCGGAGGAAGGUGGGGAUGACGUCAAGUCCUCAUGGCCCUUAUAGGUGGGGCUACACACGUCAUACAAUGGCUGGUACAGAGGGUUGCCAACCCGCGAGGGGGAGCUAAUCCCAUAAAGCCAGUCGUAGUCCGGAUCGCAGUCUGCAACUCGACUGCGUGAAGUCGGAAUCGCUAGUAAUCGCGGAUCAGAAUGUCGCGGUGAAUACGUUCCCGGGUCUUGUACACACCGCCCGUCACACCAUGGGAGCGGGUUCUGCCAGAAGUA
RNAcentral lists this ribosomal RNA (305 nucleotides) under Acidovorax sp. UYSB30. Its description in RNAcentral is "bacterial SSU rRNA". It matches the Rfam family "Bacterial small subunit ribosomal RNA", at positions 1124 to 1428 of the family's 1533-position model. The record is from RNAcentral. Lineage: Bacteria; Pseudomonadati; Pseudomonadota; Betaproteobacteria; Burkholderiales; Comamonadaceae.